RNAcentral lists this unclassified non-coding RNA (945 nucleotides) under Hevea brasiliensis (rubber tree). The record is from RNAcentral. Lineage: Eukaryota; Viridiplantae; Streptophyta; Magnoliopsida; Malpighiales; Euphorbiaceae.
GGCGAGUGGUGAGAAUAUGGGGAGAAAGAGACUGACAAACAAUUUGCUACGUAACACAAAUAAAUCAAACGAUAGCUACUAUAUUUAUUUUAUAUUAUUAGUUUGUGAUUCUAUACAAUUAUCCUUUUAAAUUAACCAAUUUCGGAGCUUUAGACGAUUGCCGGAAAACCUUCAUCGGACUUCCCAAAUACCAUCCUUUCAACUUCUCCGUCGAACAAUUUACAUCAUUGCCGCCGGAUACUGACGUCAUCGCCACAUUCACCGAUCUCGAUCUCAUCACCGUCGUUAUCGCGAAUUCCUUAAUCCUCGUAUCAUUGCAGUAGUAUGCUUUCGAUUCCGAUUCGUUCUCUUUACCUCUCUUCCUUAACUUAAAAAUCCACCAGAACGGUGCCGUUUUGUUACUCUUCUCACUCUCUGUCUUCCUUCUCCGGUCACCGGAAUCAACAUUUCGUGAUUUUAGAAAGGGAAUUCCGAUGGAUUUUGAUCUACAUAACGCUGUCUCGCUGCUGUCGUUAUUGUCGCCGGUUUCGUUACUCUUCUCACUCUCCGUCGUCUUUCUGGAAUCAACAUUUCGCGAUUUUAGAAACGGAAUCCCGACGGAUUUCGAUCUACACAACUCCAUCUCUCUGCCGUCUCCGACUUUGCUACAUUUCUCAGUCUCCGACUGGUUCUUCCGGCUGCUAGAAUUAACAUUUCGCGAUUUUAAAAACGGAAUUCCUACAGAUUUUGAUCUACAGAAGACUGGUUCCUCGCCGGAGGAUGAAGACAACGACGUCGUAGAUGCGGCGCAGCUAGAAGAGCAAGGGCGCACUUUAGCACAGAUAGGGCAAAGUUCGGAAAGUCGAUCCCGGAGACAAAUUGAACAAACUCCGGUAGUAGUUCGCCGUUUCUUCAAAGGGUGUUUUGGACAUUUCCAUGCUUCUUCUUCAUUAUAGUACACCAUUU